RNAcentral lists this ribosomal RNA (652 nucleotides) under uncultured Treponema sp. Its description in RNAcentral is "bacterial SSU rRNA". It matches the Rfam family "Bacterial small subunit ribosomal RNA", at positions 28 to 670 of the family's 1533-position model. Lineage: Bacteria; Pseudomonadati; Spirochaetota; Spirochaetia; Treponematales; Treponemataceae. The record is from RNAcentral.
AACGAACGCUGGCGGCGCGUCUUAAGCAUGCAAGUCGGGCGGCAAGGAGGAGCAAUCCUCCCUAGAGCGGCGGACUGGUGAGUAACGCGUGGGUGACCUACCCUUUGGUUGGGGAUAGCCAUUAGAAAUAGUGGGUAAUACCGAAUACGUUUACCGGGUUCUGACCUGGUAAGGAAAGGAGCUUCGGCUCCGCCGAAGGAUGGGCCCGCGUCCCAUUAGGUAGUUGGUGAGGUAAAGGCCCACCAAGCCCGUGAUGGGUAGCCGGCCUGAGAGGGUGAUCGGCCACAUUGGGACUGAGAUACGGCCCAAACUCCUACGGGAGGCAGCAGCUAAGAAUAUUCCGCAAUGGACGAAAGUCUGACGGAGCGACGCCGCGUGGAUGAUGAAGGCCGAAAGGUUGUAAAAUCCUUUUGCCACUGAAGAAUAAGUAUGGGAGGUAAUGCCCGUAUGAUGACGUUAGGUGGUGAAUAAGCCCCGGCUAAUUACGUGCCGGCAGCCGCGGUAACACGUAAGGGGCAAGCGUUGUUCGGAAUUAUUGGGCGUAAAGGGCGCGUAGGCGGUUUAGUAAGCCUGGUGUGAAAGCCCACAGCUUAACUGUGGGACUGCAUUGGGAACUGCUUUACUAGAGUCAUGGAGGGGAAGUUGGAAUUCC